GAAGAAACCCCUUCGGGGGUGGACAGUGCCGAAAGGGCGAGUAANGCGUAUNUAACGUGCCCCCCGAGUCGAGGAUAGCAGAGGGAAACUUNUGGUAAUACCCGAUGACCCCGGUAGUCCCGCAUGGACGGCCGGGCAAAGAUUUAUCGCUCAGGGAUCGGGAUACGUCCUAUCAGCUUGUUGGUGAGGUAACGGCUCACCAAGGCGAAGACGGGUAGCGGGUGUGAGAGCAUGACCCGCCGCAUCGGGACUGAGACACUGUCCGGACUCCUACGGGAGGCUGCAGUAACGAAUAUUCCGCAAUGCGCGAAAGCGUGACGGAGCAAUGCCGCGUGCAGGACGAAGCCCCUCGGGGUGUAAACUGCUGUCAGGGUUUAGGAAUUCAUGACCAGACCCAAAGGAAGGACCGGCUAACUCUGUGCCAGCAGCCGCGGUAAUACAGAGGGUCCAAGCGUUGAUCGGAAUCACUGGGCUUAAAGGGUGCGCAGGCGGCGUCGCAAGUACGUUGUGAAAUCCCACGGCUUAACCGUGGAACUGCUUCGUAGACUGCGAUGCUUGAGCAUAACAGGGGCAACCGGAACUCUAGGUGGAGCGGUGGAAUGCGUAGAUAUCUAGAGGAACGCCAAACGGGAAGCCAGGUUGCUGGGUUAUUGCUGACGCUCAGGCACGAAAGCGUGGGUAGCGAACGGGAUUAGAUACCCCGGUAGUCCACGCCCUAAACGAUGUACACUAGGUGGCGGAUGCUUUGACGUAAUCGCCGCCGAAGCCAAAGUGUUAAGUGUACCGCCUGGGGAGUACGGUCGCAAGGCUAAAACUCAAA
RNAcentral lists this ribosomal RNA (820 nucleotides) under uncultured marine bacterium. Its description in RNAcentral is "bacterial SSU rRNA". It matches the Rfam family "Bacterial small subunit ribosomal RNA", at positions 68 to 905 of the family's 1533-position model. The record is from RNAcentral.